This 1274-nucleotide long non-coding RNA is filed under the name Gallus gallus (chicken). RNAcentral's name for it is "lncRNA (ENSGALG00010006114.1)". Lineage: Eukaryota; Metazoa; Chordata; Aves; Galliformes; Phasianidae. The record is from RNAcentral.
CGCAGUGCGGUGUUGGCACCGCCGGGACAGAGCGCGGUGCUCCGCGACCUCCGCGUCGGCUCCGCGCUGCUGCGCCGCGCUGGGCUGAAAGGAGCGGGCGUCGCUUUAAGACAAACGGAAAAGCGGAAGAGAAAACCGGUUUUGCUCAAUUGAUACCGUUUGCUUUCUUUCUUUCUUUCUUUUUUUUUUAACCCCGCUUUUAUAUAUAUAUAUAUAAUAAUUAGGAUUAUUUUCGAGAACCAUUUGUUUCAAAGCCCGCUUGAGCCAAUAGCAGCCGGCGAGGUGGGGCGCGGACCUUUCCUCUGUCGACCCCCCCGAGCUGUUUGCAAACGGAGCUCUCGGUGUCUGCGCAUCUCCCCGCCGCUGAGCGGAGGGUCACGGCCCUGCCCCCGCUCCGUGCCACCGGCACCUCCCGAAGAAAAGAACGGCAAUUAACAACAACAAAAAAAAUAACAAAACCAAAACGAGAACCUCUCUCCGUAAGCCCCAUUACGAGAAAUGAAAGGCAGGAAAGGUCCCCGCGCGGUGACCGAGCGGCGCGUUCCCACGCGUCACGCACGGCUCGCUGACAGCCCGAGCAAAAUCGCGGCGUCACAGCGGUACACUCAACGUGAAGAUUUCGACGGGGAUGGUAACGAGAACGAUAAGCAUCGUCAUAAAUAGCGACGGUCCGAAUAAAUCCACAUCUUCCCGGCCGUGCCCUCCCGCAGCCUCGGCGCCGUCCGCGGCUCAGUGCUACGCGGGGCCGAAGGGAGAGACUUUUUUUCCUUUCCUUUUUUUUUUUUUUUUUUUUUUUAAUCUUUAUAUUUUAAUACAAGAAACGAACGCAGCGAGCCCAGGAUUUUGUUAUUAUUUCUAUUCCUCUUUUUUCUGUUCUUUUCCCUCCCCAUCGAAUGCGUCGCUGCUCGAGGACGAGCGGUCAGAACGCCGCGGACGGCCGCACGGUGCAGCAGGUUGCGGGGAGCGGCCCCGACGACCGACGCGAGGAGCAGAAGAGCGCUCCCAAAUGAGGCUCCCGUCAAUGGGAAAACUUAGCGCUCCUAAUGAAGUUUCUGGUGAAAGGAGCGCGACACAAAGCCACCGCGGCAUGAAUCAUUCAUGGGAAAUAUAAAAGAUAAAAGCCGUCGGACAAUGGGCAGCGCCCCGCAUGGAGCGCGCAACGCGUUUCCCUUCCCCGCGUCCCCACGUCCCCGUGUCUGUCCUGCGCCGACCCGCGCCGUCCCCGGCCCCGCACCCAAAGGCGCUCGGCUCCCCCCUCCCCGGCACGUUGGGAG